Molecule: ribosomal RNA, 251 nt
Filed under: uncultured bacterium
Lineage: Bacteria
Description: partial 16S ribosomal RNA
Rfam family: Bacterial small subunit ribosomal RNA
Source: RNAcentral
ACGUAGGUGGCAAGCGUUGUCCGGAAUUAUUGGGCGUAAAGCGCGCGCAGGCGGCCUAUCCAGUCUGUCUUAAAAGUUCGGGGCUCAACCCCGUGAUGGGAUGGAAACUAGUAGGCUAGAGUAUCGGAGAGGAAAGCGGAAUUCCUAGUGUAGCGGUGAAAUGCGUAGAUAUUAGGAAGAACACCAGUGGCGAAGGCGGCUUUCUGGACGAAAACUGACGCUGAGGCGCGAAAGCCAGGGGAGCGAACGGG